GCGCGCGCAGGCGGUUUCUUAAGUCUGAUGUGAAAGCCCACGGCUCAACCGUGGAGGGUCAUUGGAAACUGGGAGACUUGAGUGCAGAAGAGGAGAGUGGAAUUCCACGUGUAGCGGUGAAAUGCGUAGAGAUGUGGAGGAACACCAGUGGCGAAGGCGACUCUCUGGUCUGUAACUGACGCUGAGGCGCGAAAGCGUGGGGAGCAAACAGGAUUAGGUACCCUGGUAGUCCACGCCGUAAACGAUGAGUGCUAAGUGUUAGAGGGUUUCCGCCCUUUAGUGCUGCAGCUAACGCAUUAAGCACUCCGCCUGGGGAGUACGGUCGCAAGACUGAAACUCAAAGGAAUUGACGGGGGCCCGCACAAGCGGUGGAGCAUGUGGUUUAAUUCGAAGCAACGCGAAGAACCUUACCAGGUCUUGACAUCCUCUGCCACCUCUAGAGAUAGAGCGUUCCCCUUCGGGGGACAGAGUGACAGGUGGUGCAUGGUUGUCGUCAGCUCGUGUCGUGAGAUGUUGGGUUAAGUCCCGCAACGAGCGCAACCCUUGUUCUUAGUUGCCAGCAUUCAGUUGGGCACUCUAAGGAGACUGCCGGUGACAAACCGGAGGAAGGUGGGGAUGACGUCAAAUCAUCAUGCCCCUUAUGACCUGGGCUACACACGUGCUACAAUGGACGGUACAAAGGGCAGCAAAACCGCGAGGUCGAGCCAAUCCCAUAAAACCGUUCUCAGUUCGGAUUGUAGGCUGCAACUCGCCUACAUGAAGCCGGAAUCGCUAGUAAUCG
This 781-nucleotide ribosomal RNA is filed under the name uncultured bacterium. RNAcentral describes it as "bacterial SSU rRNA". It matches the Rfam family "Bacterial small subunit ribosomal RNA", at positions 565 to 1344 of the family's 1533-position model. The record is from RNAcentral.